This is a long non-coding RNA of Hippoglossus stenolepis (Pacific halibut), 2512 nucleotides long. RefSeq lists it as uncharacterized. NCBI's taxonomy places the organism in Eukaryota, Metazoa, Chordata, Actinopteri, Pleuronectiformes, Pleuronectidae. The transcript is spliced from 2 exons. The record is from RefSeq and is a predicted model, not a curated record.
UGUGGGCUCAAGCACAUAUACAGUAACUGCAGCAGCGGCCACACUGUUUGGCUGCGUCAACACAAUGUGACUCCACUCUCUCUUCGAGCAGGACUCACUUAUCUACGCAGCAGGUGGUGGAGCAUACCUGCUUCUGCAAGGAAAACUAGAUUUUUUAUUUUUUUUUGCAAAGCACAAGACUGAAGUUUUUCAAUGAAUGCGACACCAAAGACAACCUGACGGAAGUAGUGUAGUGCAGACGAAAGAGAAGGAAGUAAUCUGACGUAGCAUCCUUUGAAUUAUUUCCACGCAGGAAUACUCUCAGGUAGAUGAGAUGAUAUUGACAUUGUCACAAUUCAAAUAUUUUGCCAUCGCUUUUCUGCAAAACGCUGAAGUUUUAACUGCAACUGUACAGAAUAUUGAUUACAAUUUUUUUAUUAUUAUUAUUUUGCCAUUUUUCUAACAUUGUGUUAUUAUAAUUCUGUAUUGUAGCGUUGUGUGGUGUUUUUUAAUAUCUUUAGCCUAUGUGCAUAUACAAGUUUUUAACUCUAAUGUCUCAAUACUAAUAAUAUCCAUUACUUGUAUUUUUUGUGCUUGGUUUUUAUUGUAUCUCCUUUUUUCUUAUGUUAUCUUAAAAGUGCGUUCAUUUUCUUAGUAAUAGCUGUACUGAUAACUCAAUAAAAACGAAAGGGAAACCAAAGACAAACAAAGGCACAUAAAAGGUGAUUUACUAAAUAUAUAACUGCUCCUCUGGGGGAGAAGCCGCAUGACUUUAGUCAAAGUGCUGCAGAUUUGGUUGGGUUGAGUUAAAGUGACACACCCGCAUUAAAUUUAUACUUUAACUUGGAGUUUUUACACUUCAUGCAAACUUUUGCAAAUAUAAUCUUCAGGCAAGCGACCGUGCAAUGUGAUGUCCGGGUUGAUAUUUGUUCCCAAAGAGCUGAACAAAUCUGUCCGGAGCAGAAGUAACAAAACUGUUCAAGUUCAGCCUCAGCAUUGUCGAUAACUUCACAACUGAACCAGCCAAAGUUACUGAACCGUUAUGUAACCCCACACUCUCCGGUUUAUCCACAUCAUCACAAGUUAACAGUGUGCGUAAUGAUCGUGGCUCUUACCUUUCACCAGACGUGCACCUCGGGAAUCAGUCCGACUCUCUUUCCACCUCGACGUCCACUUUUUCCCAGCUCACACCUCUCCACCACCGCUCCUCUCUCUCUCUCUCUCCCACUUCAGUUUAUUCUGGGCUGCGCUCGUCUCCCGCUUCUCCCCAUGCAACUGCAACAAGGCACAAACACAUGCGAUCACUCCAGAGCAGAUAUCCCCGCUGGAUGACAACAAACUCACGAUGCCUCGACACUUUCAGCCCUGGACCCCGAGCGUCCCUAAAGAAAGAUCGAAAUGCGCGUGUUUGGAGAGGAUCUGUCCAGAAGUGACAGAGGAGUGAGAGAGGAGGAGAGACGCGCUCCCGACUGACUGCUGGAGCCCGGAGACGCCAGCAGGAAUGCGCUGGCAGAAGAGCUAUGUUUCGCUCCAGACAGACCCAGCCUUCAGCCGCCACGGCACGCACGCACAGCCGCCUAUCAACGAGCGCGGUGACGACAGCCUCACUGCGAGUCACCAGGGCCACACCCAUCCAUUCAUAAAGUGGACAGAGAGAGAGAGAGGGAGAGAGACCAGUGUCCAGACCGGCCAGUGCGCAAGGAGCAUCCAUCAUAAAGGCACACAUAAAGUCUAUGGUAUCCUUUUAGUGUCUCAUAUUUCCAUGUCUGUUCCAAAUUGGGACUUGAUAAUAGCUUCUAGGUUUUAAUACAGACUUCUGUAUGACAUGUUUACUGUAGCCUGAUGUGGACAUGAAAACCUAUUUGCUUUUUUGUUCAGAUACUUGUGCAAACAUGUGUUAUAAAUAGAAAAGCAUGGCCAUGAUCCUCCAUCAUCCAUCCAUCCAUCCAUCCAUCCAUCCAUCCAUCCAUCCAUCCAUCCAUCCAUCCAUCCAUCCAUGCAUCCAUACCGCUUAUCCUUUGAGGGUUGAGGGGGGAGCUGGAUGUGAGAUUAAUCAUUGGGCCUAAAUAAAAUAAUAGUUAUGAACCUUAUCCGCAAUGCAAAUACUGUAAUAACAAUAUGUAUUUGUGUAUAGUCUAGUAUGAUGUGAACAUUUACCAGAGGAUGUUCAGUCUUGGUGAAGAGCUCAGCUGGUGUUUACUGCCUCUACAGCUUGGAUACCGGUCUUCCUCGCUCAGUCGGUCUCACGGCUGACUUCAUCGUCCACCAGCUGAACCUGCCUGUUUGUGCAUGGUUGUGUAACAUUGCACAAUUGACAGUUUUUAAUUAGUUGAAGGCAUUUGGCACCUUUGUUUUUAUCCCGAGAACACCCAGUUCAUUAAAACACUUUGGGUGGAUGCUCAAGUCUGAUAAAGCACUAUUGUGUGGUACAAGUAUGUCACCACCCAAAGGAAGGAUGCUGCACAGCCAUAGUUCAGUACAGAUACUGUAGAGUGCAGUAGGUCUAAGAAUAAACUAUGAAUUAAUCAUCUGG